This 1554-nucleotide ribosomal RNA is filed under the name Plasmodium sp. RNAcentral's name for it is "SSU rRNA". It matches the Rfam family "Eukaryotic small subunit ribosomal RNA", at positions 162 to 1440 of the family's 1831-position model. The record is from RNAcentral. Lineage: Eukaryota; Apicomplexa; Aconoidasida; Haemosporida; Plasmodiidae.
AGCUAAUACUUGCUUUAGCACUCUUGAUUAAGUUCUUGAGUGUGUACUUGUUAAGCCUUUUAAGAAAAAAGUUAUUAACUUAAGGAAUUAUAACAAAGAAGUAACACGUAAAUGGAUUUUCCAUUUUUUAGUGUGUAUCAAUCGAGUUUCUGACCUAUCAGCUUUUGAUGUUAGGGUAUUGGCCUAACAUGGCUAUGACGGGUAACGGGGAAUUAGAGUUCGAUUCCGGAGAGGGAGCCUGAGAAAUAGCUACCACAUCUAAGGAAGGCAGCAGGCGCGUAAAUUACCCAAUUCUAAAGAAGAGAGGUAGUGACAAGAAAUAACAAUACAAGGCCAAUCUGGCUUUGUAAUUGGAAUGAUGGGAAUUUAAAACCUUCCCAAAACUCAAUUGGAGGGCAAGUCUGGUGCCAGCAGCCGCGGUAAUUCCAGCUCCAAUAGCGUAUAUUAAAAUUGUUGCAGUUAAAACGCUCGUAGUUGAAUUUCAAAGAAUCGAUAUUUUAAGUAACGCUUUGUAGAUUAAUCCACAUAACUGAUACUACGUAUCGACUUUGUGCGCAUUUUUCUACUUAUGUGUUCUUUUAAUUAAAAUGAUUCUUUUUAAGAUCUUUCUUUUUUGCUUCGGCAUUUUAGGAGAUCUUGUUACUUUGAGUAAAUUAGAGUGUUCAAAGCAAACAGAUUAUAGCAUCUUUAUGCGUUUGAAUACUACAGCAUGGAAUAACAAAAUUGAACAAGUCAGAAUUUUGUUCUUUUUUCUUAUUUUGGCUUAGUUACGAUUAAUAGGAGUAGCUUGGGGGCAUUUGUAUUCAGAUGUCAGAGGUGAAAUUCUUAGAUUUUCUGGAGACAAACAACUGCGAAAGCAUUUGCCUAAAAUACUUCCAUUAAUCAAGAACGAAAGUUAAGGGAGUGAAGACGAUCAGAUACCGUCGUAAUCUUAACCAUAAACUAUACCGACUAGGUUUUGGAUGAAAGUAAAACAAAUAAGGAUAGUCUCUUCGGGGAUAGUCCUUAGAUUUCUUCCUUCAGUACCCUAUGAGAAAUCAAAGUCUUUGGGUUCUGGGGCGAGUAUUCGCGCAAGCGAGAAAGUUAAAAGAAUUGACGGAAGGGCACCACCAGGCGUGGAGCUUGCGGCUUAAUUUGACUCAACACGGGAAAACUCACUAGUUUAAGACAAGAGUAGGAUUGACAGAUUGAGAGCUCUUUCUUGAUUUCUUGGAUGGUGAUGCAUGGCCGUUUUUAGUUCGUGAAUAUGAUUUGUCUGGUUAAUUCCGAUAACGAACGAGAUCUUAACCUGCUAAUUAGCGGCAAAUACGAUAUAUUCUUACGUGGAAUUGCAUGCUUAUGGUUUGUCUCUAUUGAGCUGCAUAAUAAUGAAGGAUCGUGAUUGCUUUUCGUGUCAAUCUUUCUUAAUCGAAUCGUUGAUGUGUUUUGUAUAUCUCGUUCUUUCAUUACCUUGCAAUCACUCAUUUGCCUUAUCAUACUGUUUCUCUUUUGCGUAAGAAUGUAUUUGCUUGAUUGUAAAGCUUCUUAGAGGAACGAUGUGUGUCUAACACAAGG